Molecule: ribosomal RNA, 435 nt
Filed under: uncultured bacterium
Lineage: Bacteria
Description: partial 16S ribosomal RNA
Rfam family: Bacterial small subunit ribosomal RNA
Source: RNAcentral
AGCGAACGCUGGCGGCAGGCUUAACACAUGCAAGUCGAGCGGGCAUCUUCGGAUGUCAGCGGCAGACGGGUGAGUAACACGUGGGAACGUACCCUUCGGUUCGGAACAACUCUGGGAAACUGGAGCUAAUACCGGAUACGCCCUUAUGGGGAAAGGUUUACUGCCGAAGGAUCGGCCCGCGUCUGAUUAGCUAGUUGGUGGGGUAACGGCCUACCAAGGCGACGAUCAGUAGCUGGUCUGAGAGGAUGAUCAGCCACACUGGGACUGAGACACGGACCAGACUCCUGCGGGAGGCAGCAGUGGGGAAUAGUGGACAAGGGGGGCAAGCCUGAGCCAGCCAGGCCGCGUGAGUGAUGAAGGCCUGAGGGUUGUAAAGCGCUUUUGUCCGGGACGAUAAUGACGGUACCGGAAGAAUAAGCCCCGGCUAACUUCGUG